RNAcentral lists this ribosomal RNA (349 nucleotides) under Eimeria gruis. RNAcentral's name for it is "SSU rRNA". It matches the Rfam family "Eukaryotic small subunit ribosomal RNA", at positions 556 to 906 of the family's 1831-position model. The record is from RNAcentral. Lineage: Eukaryota; Apicomplexa; Conoidasida; Eucoccidiorida; Eimeriidae.
CAAGUCUGGUGCCAGCAGCCGCGGUAAUUCCAGCUCCAAUAGCGUAUAUUAGAGUUGUUGCAGUUAAAAAGCUCGUAGUUGGAUUUCUGUCGGUGCUAUCCGGUUCCGCCUGUAUAGGUGUGCACCAGGAUUGGCUUCGGCAUUCUUCCGUAGCUUAAUCCCGCUUCAUUGCGUGGAUUGGGUGUUUCGGAACUUUUACUUUGAGAAAAAUAGAGUGUUUCAAGCAGGCUUGUCGCCUUGAAUACUGCAGCAUGGAAUAAUAAGAUAGGACCUUGGUUCUAUUUUGUUGGUUUCUAGGACUAAGGUAAUGAUUAAUAGGGACAGUUGGGGGCAUUCGUAUUUAACUGUC